RNAcentral lists this ribosomal RNA (978 nucleotides) under Acinetobacter baumannii. Its description in RNAcentral is "bacterial SSU rRNA". It matches the Rfam family "Bacterial small subunit ribosomal RNA", at positions 124 to 1100 of the family's 1533-position model. The record is from RNAcentral. Lineage: Bacteria; Pseudomonadati; Pseudomonadota; Gammaproteobacteria; Moraxellales; Moraxellaceae.
AUCUGCCUAUUAGUGGGGGACAACAUCUCGAAAGGGAUGCUAAUACCGCAUACGUCCUAGGGAGAAAGCAGGGGAUCUUCGGACCUUGCGCUAAUAGAUGAGCCUAAGUCGGAUUAGCUAGUUGGUGGGGUAAAGGCCUACCAAGGCGACGAUCUGUAGCGGGUCUGAGAGGAUGAUCCGCCACACUGGGACUGAGACACGGCCCAGACUCCUACGGGAGGCAGCAGUGGGGAAUAUUGGACAAUGGGGGGAACCCUGAUCCAGCCAUGCCGCGUGUGUGAAGAAGGCCUUAUGGUUGUAAAGCACUUUAAGCGAGGAGGAGGCUCUCUAGUUAAUACCUAGGAUAGUGGACGUUACUCGCAGAAUAAGCACCGGCUAACUCUGUGCCAGCAGCCGCGGUAAUACAGAGGGUGCGAGCGUUAAUCGGAUUUACUGGGCGUAAAGCGUGCGUAGGCGGCUUAUUAAGUCGGAUGUGAAAUCCCCGAGCUUAACUUGGGAAUUGCAUUCGAUACUGGUGAGCUAGAGUAUGGGAGAGGAUGGUAGAAUUCCAGGUGUAGCGGUGAAAUGCGUAGAGAUCUGGAGGAAUACCGAUGGCGAAGGCAGCCAUCUGGCCUAAUACUGACGCUGAGGUACGAAAGCAUGGGGAGCAAACAGGAUUAGAUACCCUGGUAGUCCAUGCCGUAAACGAUGUCUACUAGCCGUUGGGGCCUUUGAGGCUUUAGUGGCGCAGCUAACGCGAUAAGUAGACCGCCUGGGGAGUACGGUCGCAAGACUAAAACUCAAAUGAAUUGACGGGGGCCCGCACAAGCGGUGGAGCAUGUGGUUUAAUUCGAUGCAACGCGAAGAACCUUACCUGGCCUUGACAUACUAGAAACUUUCCAGAGAUGGAUUGGUGCCUUCGGGAAUCUAAUACAGGUGCUGCAUGGCUGUCGUCAGCUCGUGUCGUGAGAUGUUGGGUUAAGUCCCGCAACGAGCGCA